Molecule: ribosomal RNA, 492 nt
Filed under: uncultured bacterium
Lineage: Bacteria
Description: partial 16S ribosomal RNA
Rfam family: Bacterial small subunit ribosomal RNA
Source: RNAcentral
AGUGAACGCUGGCGGCAUGCCUAACACAUGCAAGUCGAACGGCAGCACAGUAAGUGCUUGCUCUUACGGGUGGCGAGUGGCGGACGGGUGAGGAAUAUAUCGGAAUCUACUUUUUCGUGGGGGAUAACGUAGGGAAACUUACGCUAAUACCGCAGACGACCUUCGGGUGAAAGCAGGGGAUCUUCGGACCUGGAGCGAUUGAAUGAGCCGCUGUCGGAUUAUCUAGUUGGCGGGGUAAAGGCCCACCAAGGCGCCGAUCCGUAGCUGGUCUGAGAGGAGGAUCAGCCCCACUGGAACUGAGACACGGUCCAGACUCCUACGGGAGGCAGCAGUGGGGAAUAUUGGCCAAUGGGCGCAAGCCUGCUCCAGCCCUACCGCGUGGGUGAAGAAGGCCUUCGGGUUGUAAAGCCCUUUUGUUGGGAAAGAAAAGCAGCAGGUUAAUACCCCGCUGUUCUGACGGUACCCAAACAAUAAGCACCGGCUAACUUCGUG